This 1059-nucleotide small RNA is filed under the name Arabidopsis thaliana (thale cress). Its description in RNAcentral is "ATSL193470". The record is from RNAcentral. Lineage: Eukaryota; Viridiplantae; Streptophyta; Magnoliopsida; Brassicales; Brassicaceae.
UUUUUUUUAUAUGUUUAUGUUAGAUUUUGGGGUAUGGAAUGUAUCUCUUAGCUUAGGUGGUUCUGACGAGGUGUGUCCUGUUGUAUUUUGAACAUGAGGAUUUUGUACAUGUUACGUUGGUUAUUUAUAGAUGUCCGAUAACAUAUUGCGAGGGAUUUGCGAGGAACAGUGCUAUUUUGCUACGAAUUUGUGAGAGAAGUUCAACUACCAACCAAAGCAGGAAGAUUAUUUAAAACGUGCUGACCUAACCUGCCAAGGACUCGCAACUCCGACGCAAAAUUUGCUACAAAAAGUUUGUACGACGCAAGUUUACCGCAGGUUGCAAGGCUUUAUCGUACAGCAAAUCUCUCGCAAUUUGCGAUGACUUUGCGAGAAAUUCUUCCGUCGUUGCAAUUUUCUCGCAAUUGCCACGCAAUAUUGUGUGGGAAUUCUCCCUCGCAAAUUUUGCGACUGAUUAACGACGUAUUGGUUUUCCCGCGCAAAGUGCUCGCAAGUCUAUAGCAAUUUGCGAGGGAUUUACGCCAUCUCAAAUUUCCCUCGCAAAUCGCCUGUUUUCUUGUAGAUUGAGGGAGAUUUCAAAGAGAUAGAAGGAGACGGUGGAGAGGUUGAGAGAGAUUUCAAAGAGAUUGAGGGAGAGUUGAGAUGUGAGAGAAAUAUUAAGAGAUAUUUAAGGGUUUUGUUUUGAAAAAAAUAAGCGUAAAACUGAUUUGGAAAAAAGAAAUAAUUGACGCAUAAUUUUUUCGUUUUGGAGGGUAAAGUUUGGUGCCCGAUGCUUUUCCAACGGUAAAACUUUUACCCUCGCAAAUCCGUCAGAAAUAUAAAAUAUUUUUCUUAUACAUGUAUAAAGUCAUCAUCUCAUUUCCAGAUGAGUGAACUCGGCGUUACAAACACGCUCUUGAGAUACUUAUAACAUCGAUCAUUUCUUUUUCGUGACUAGUUUCCAUGUCCUUGGAGUGAAAUUUCUGUGAAUCUGCAUUGAGAAUUAGAUUUGAUAUAAUCUUGCUUGGUUUGACUUGAGUACUAGCUCACAAAACUUCAACCUAAGGCAAAUUUUCUAAA